AGCGAACGCUGGCGGCAUGCUUAACACAUGCAAGUCGCACGGUCGGGUUUCGGCCCGGCAGUGGCGGACGGGUGAGUAACGCGUAGGUAUCUAUCCUUGGGAUGGGGGACGAACCGUCGGGAAACGUAACGGCUAAUACCGCAUGACGACCGAGGUCCAAAGGACCGCGAGGCCGUCUGGGGAGGAGCCUGCGUCCGAUUAGCUAGUUGGUGGGGUAACGGGCCUACCAAGGCGGUGAUCGGUAGCUGGUCNGAGAGGAUGAUCAGCCACACUGGGACUGAGAUACGGCCCAGACUCCUACGGGAGGCAGCAGUGAGGAAUAUUCCACAAUGGCCGAAAGGCUGAUGGAGCGACGCCGCGUGAAGGAAGAAG
RNAcentral lists this ribosomal RNA (372 nucleotides) under uncultured bacterium. RNAcentral describes it as "bacterial SSU rRNA". It matches the Rfam family "Bacterial small subunit ribosomal RNA", at positions 30 to 413 of the family's 1533-position model. The record is from RNAcentral.